UCUCCGUAGGUGAACCAGCGGAAGGAUCAUUACUGAAUAACCAAGGUGCGAGGGCUUUCGAUGACACGAAAGGGUGUCUACGCCCGAGUGCCCCCACACAAACCCAUCCCACCCCUACGCGCACCCCCGCGUGGGUGCCAAUUCGGCAUGAUCGGGGGAGGGCUUACCUUUUCUCGCAUACUUGGUUUGCAUUGUAGAAAGUAUAAUAUGUUUUUGCGAUCACGCAAUCAAUACAGCUUUCAAGAACAGAUCUCUAGGCUCUCGCAUCGAUGAAGAAAA
This 279-nucleotide unclassified non-coding RNA is filed under the name plant metagenome. RNAcentral describes it as "partial contains small subunit ribosomal RNA, internal transcribed spacer 1, and 5.8S ribosomal RNA". The record is from RNAcentral.